GAAAGGCUAAGCGACAAUGUUGCGCUUACGAAUCGUGUCAGGUUCGGAAGAAAGCAGCACUAAGUAGGAUGUGGCAUGUGUCGCUUAUUAUUUUGAAAUA
Molecule: non-coding RNA, 100 nt
Rfam family: Bacterial small signal recognition particle RNA
About the family: The signal recognition particle (SRP) is a universally conserved ribonucleoprotein involved in the co-translational targeting of proteins to membranes. Archaeal SRP consists of a 7S RNA and homologues of the eukaryotic SRP19 and SRP54 proteins.
Source: Rfam